Long non-coding RNA from Panicum hallii, 767 nucleotides. RefSeq lists it as uncharacterized. The record is from RefSeq and is a predicted model, not a curated record. The transcript has 2 exons. NCBI's taxonomy places the organism in Eukaryota, Viridiplantae, Streptophyta, Magnoliopsida, Poales, Poaceae.
UUCCGCACAGAGUACUGCAGAAUCAAGUUUUCAAUGGGCCUAAGCACUUAUGGACUGCGUCCAACAAUUUUCCUUGUGUCUGGGGCAAAGAGAUAAAAACACUACUAGUGCUCUGUUGUCAAGGGCCCAAGAGAUCCAUUUUUGUUGUUCACAGCUUCACGUGAUUCUGUUCGUUUCCCAAUCCCAACCCUGCCCUCUGGCCUCUGGGGGUCCAAUGCAGUUGUACUCGCCUCUUGCUCUCGUCCCGCCCCCGACGGAUGAGGCGACCUCAUUUCCCCCCUAACGACUCUCACUCGUAGGAGCUCCUCUACCGAGCUCUCAUCCGGCGACGGCGCCAACGGCCGGCCCUCCAUCGCCUCCACGGAGCUUUUCCGGCGCCGUCCACGGAGGUUUCCCCGCGCUAGGAGGUCGAAAUGCAAAGCUGGAUGAAAUUGAUGGAGAAUAAUUUUGGAAGCAAUGAGCUUGAUGCUGAUGAGUUCAAUUUUAGAGCAAUGCCCGACGAACAAGCCUCUACGGCUCUACAGAGGCACCUACGGAGGCUUCUCCCACCUUGAAGAUAUGAAACAAGAACAAGAAGAGACGAAAAAUACCGCCGUUCGAAAUAUAGCCGUUCGAUUAUAGCCGUUGCAAAUACAGCUGUUGUUCAAAUAAUCAUUAGCUGCCAAAUUAUUAAGAAACUAAUGGUUAUAAAUAAUUCCGUUCAUAAAUUAUUGGUAGGAAAUAUAACAUUCAUAAAAUCAUUAUUGAUAAUAAACACCGUUUCGAUA